ACGCUCGACACCUACUGGAGGCAGCAGUGGGGAAUAUUGCACAAUGGGGGAAACCCUGAUGCAGCGACGCCGCGUGAAGGAAGAAGUAUUUCGGUAUGUAAACUUCUAUCAGCAGGGAANAAAAUGACGGUACCUGACUAAGAAGCCCCGGCUAACUACGUGCCAGUAGCCGCGGUAAUCUGAGCGGGCGUGCAAGGC
RNAcentral lists this ribosomal RNA (198 nucleotides) under uncultured bacterium. RNAcentral describes it as "partial 16S ribosomal RNA". It matches the Rfam family "Bacterial small subunit ribosomal RNA", at positions 328 to 539 of the family's 1533-position model. The record is from RNAcentral.